AUUAACAUACUUAGCUUGUUUUGUUGUAUUUGCUUGAUGUUUGGCUAUGUUGGCGAAGUUGUCAAAAUCAGCCAGAGGUUUAUCUGCUAGCUAUACAUUUCGUUAGCAAACUUACUAGAUAACACACUCACUCAGACAUCGGUAACUUUACUGCAACUUCAAGUGCUCUUGAGUCGGAAUGCAUCCCAGCUUUGUUGGCUAGGUUGCCACAUGGGGCCCGUUCUUCGUACGUCGCUAACUCACUUAGCUGGAUUUGAUUGUUGGAUUGUUUGGUUCUUCGACGCUCAUCCUGGACUUGCUGUCAUAGCAACAGGUGCUUACGAUGGGAUCCUGCUUGGUGACCGGGGCUAUGCCUGCAGGCAGUAUUUUCUGACGCCAUUUCCUGAUCCAAACCCGUUACAAUGCAGCUCUAGGCAGGACAAGGGCACACACUGAAAUUACCUUUGGGCAACUAAAGGAAAGAUUUCAGUGUCUGAAGGGUUGCAUCUGACAGGGCCUGUGACAUUAUUGUUGCAUGUGCCAGUCUCCACAACAUUGCCACCAUCAGAAAGAAGAGGACACCUGUGGUGGAGGUACAGCCUGAUGAUGACCUCCAGCCAGUGCACUUGGACCAACCUAGUGGCAGAGCUGCACGGGACAGAAUUGUGGACCACCAUUUUUGAUUUGUUUUUUUUACAAACAAAAACAUUCAUUAAAUGAAUAGAAGACAAGACAACAUGCUUAGUUCCUUGAUUUUUAUUUCAAUUAUUCUUUGUCAAGAAAAGCCAGUGAUUGUCAUCUUUUGCCUGCAAUAAGAUAUAUUGUUAUCCAAGGUCAGCAAUAGUACUGUGUGAAAUAGUGUAUUAGCAUUUACUCUGAAGUUCCUUUUGAAGCAACUCAAUUUCUAGUGCCAGUUUUUUCUUCUUUAAAAAGGUGUCAAGUUCCAUUUCUCCCCUUAAUUUUAGUUUUUUCAGGUGAAAAUACUCAAUUUUCUGUUGUAGAUUAUGUUUAUAUAGGGUACAGAUAUCACCCUGUGCCAUUUUUGGAUAAAAAGAAUUACAAAAAAAACCCCCACAAGCCUCAUGCAACAGAAAUAAAAAGGAAAUAUACUACA
Micropterus dolomieu (smallmouth bass) is the source of this 1093-nucleotide long non-coding RNA. RefSeq lists it as uncharacterized. The transcript has 2 exons. The record is from RefSeq and is a predicted model, not a curated record. NCBI's taxonomy places the organism in Eukaryota, Metazoa, Chordata, Actinopteri, Centrarchiformes, Centrarchidae.